GGGGAUGUAGCUCAGUGGCAGAGUAUUUGCCAAGCUUGUGUAAGACCCUGGGUUCAAUUCCCAGUACUACCA
This 72-nucleotide transfer RNA is filed under the name Marmota marmota marmota (Alpine marmot). It matches the Rfam family "tRNA". Rfam says of the family: Transfer RNA (tRNA) molecules are approximately 80 nucleotides in length. Their secondary structure includes four short double-helical elements and three loops (D, anti-codon, and T loops). The record is from Rfam by way of RNAcentral. RNAcentral also lists the same sequence under 3 other names. Lineage: Eukaryota; Metazoa; Chordata; Mammalia; Rodentia; Sciuridae.